Molecule: ribosomal RNA, 443 nt
Filed under: uncultured bacterium
Lineage: Bacteria
Description: partial 16S ribosomal RNA
Rfam family: Bacterial small subunit ribosomal RNA
Source: RNAcentral
CCUACGGGAGGCAGCAGUGGGGGAUAUUGCACAAUGGGGGAAACCCUGAUGCAGCGACGCCGCGUGGGCGAAGAAGUAUUUCGGUAUGUAAAGCCCUAUCAGCAGGGAAGAAGAAAUGACGGUACCUGAGUAAGAAGCACCGGCUAAAAACGUGCCAGCAGCCGCGGUAAUACGUAUGGGGGCAAGCGUUAUCCGGAUUUACUGGGUGUAAAGGGGGCGCAGACGGCAAGGCAAGUCUGGAGGGAAAGGCCGUGGCCCAACCACGGGACUGCUGUGGAAACUGGGUUGCUGGAGUGCAGGAGGGGGAAGCGGAAUUCCUGGUGUAGCGGUGAAAUGCGUAGAUAUUAGGAGGAACACCGGUGGCGAAGGCGGCUUACUGGACUGUAACUGACGUUGAGGCUCGAAGGCGUGGGGAGCAAACAGGAUUAGAUACCCCAGUAGUC